RNAcentral lists this ribosomal RNA (570 nucleotides) under uncultured bacterium. RNAcentral's name for it is "bacterial SSU rRNA". It matches the Rfam family "Bacterial small subunit ribosomal RNA", at positions 338 to 918 of the family's 1533-position model. The record is from RNAcentral.
CCUACGGGAGGCAGCAGUGGGGAAUAUUGCGCAAUGGACGAAAGUCUGACGCAGCAACGCCGCGUGAGGGAUGAAGUACAUCGAGAUGUAAACCUCUUUCAGCAGGGACGAAGCGAAAGUGACGGUACCUGCAGAAGAAGCACCGGCUAACUACGUGCCAGCAGCCGCGGUAAUACGUAGGGUGCAAGCGUUGUCCGGAUUUAUUGGGCGUAAAGGGCUCGUAGGCGGUCUGUCGCGUCGGAUGUGAAAACUCGGAGCUUAACUCCGGGCCUGCAUUCGAUACGGGCAGACUAGAGUUCGGUAGGGGAGACUGGAAUUUCUGGUGUAGCGGUGGAAUGCGCAGAUAUCAGGAAGAAUACCGAUGGCGAAGGCAGGUCUCUGGGCCGAUACUGACGCUGAGGAGCGAAAGCAUGGGGAGCGAACAGGAUUAGAUACCCUGGUAGUCCAUGCCGUAAACGGUGGGCGCUAGGUGUGGGGAAUCAUCUACAUUCUCCGCGCCGCAGCUAACGCAUUAAGCGCCCCGCCUGGGGAGUACGGCCGCAAGGCUAAAACUCAAAGGAAUUGACGGGG